AUUGAACGCUGGCGGCAGGCCUAACACAUGCAAGUCGAGCGGAUGAAGGGAGCUUGCUCCUGGAUUCAGCGGCGGACGGGUGAGUAAUGCCUAGGAAUCUGCCUGGUAGUGGGGGAUAACGUCCGGAAACGGGCGCUAAUACCGCAUACGUCCUGAGGGAGAAAGUGGGGGAUCUUUGGACCUCACGCUAUCAGAUGAGCCUAGGUCGGAUUAGCUAGUUGGUGGGGUAAAGGCCUACCAAGGCGACGAUCCGUAACUGGUCUGAGAGGAUGAUCAGUCACACUGGAACUGAGACACGGUCCAGACUCCUACGGGAGGCAGCAGUGGGGAAUAUUGGACAAUGGGCGAAAGCCUGAUCCAGCCAUGCCGCGUGAGUGAAGAAGGUCUUCGGAUUGUAAAGCACUUUAAGUUGGGAGGAAGGGCAGUAAGUUAAUACCUUGCUGUUUUGACGUUACCAACAGAAUAAGCACCGGCUAACUUCGUG
Molecule: ribosomal RNA, 484 nt
Filed under: uncultured bacterium
Lineage: Bacteria
Description: partial 16S ribosomal RNA
Rfam family: Bacterial small subunit ribosomal RNA
Source: RNAcentral